ACGAAGUUAGAUCCGAAAUUCAGGGGUCCAUUCGUAAUAGCCGAGAUUUUGGAAGGAGAUAGAUAUACCCUAAAAACCUUAGACGGCAAACGAUCAUAUAAGGACAGACACGACAGACUGAGAAAAAUGCCAGAAGGUUGCGUCCCUGCUGAGUUAGACGUCUGCGGUGAUGACAACGGCGGUGAUAAUAACGAUGCAAGUACACUGACCUCAGAGGAUCAUUAACACUGCGUUGUGGUCAUAGUAAUACACCGAGUGGUUUUAUGUGCUUUUGUUGUAACCCGUUGAGUGGGGUUGAUGUGUUUUUGUUGUAACCCGUUGAGUGGGUUGAUGUGCUUUUUGUUGUAACCCGUUGAGUGGGGUUACGUGCUUUUGUUGUAACCCGUUGAGUGGGGUUACGUGCUUUUGUUGUAACCCGUUGAGUGGGCUUACGUGCUUUCUGGGUGUAAUGCACCCAACGUGGCAAUAUGAUCCAACAAACUGAGGUUCACCGGUGUACGAAAUCGAAAAUGAUCUGUUGUGUCAUUACGGUCUGGCUGGCGACUCACAGAACGCACCUAACACUUUGAAUACAAAUUAUAACAUUACAAAUUCCUAUUCUCUUUUAUUUUUCUGUUGUCAAACCUCCGAACGAAACUUUGUUAUUGCACUGGACCCUUGACUUACUUGGACAUUUAGUUAAAUCGCAAAUAAUGUCAGUUGUAUCGAAUCUAAUGUAAGAAAUACGAUAUUUUAGUUACACACGAGGACGUGUGAUAGUCAGGAUGGCCGUGUCGGAGAUGAAAGAACACCGGAGCCUUUGGAAUUUUGGAUAAUCCCGCAACAUUGUAACCUAGAGUCUACUAUAGCUGUAAUUGAACAAUUGUAGUUAUUCAACCCGAUUGUAAUUAUUCGAGAAUUGUGAUAAUGAGCUUGGGUUCGAGGCGACAGUCAGUCGCCGAACGUAGCCGCGGUCACGGGAUGAACGCUUUGCCUAACAAAGGUAUGAAGUAAUUCUAUAGCUCUCCUUAAAAGAAAUAUUUGUGGCGACACGCGACAGUAAACAUUCCAACGGUUUCUGUCCCGUGGCUCGCCACGUGCAGACCCUAUUCUUCGAGUAAGAUGAUUGCCAGAUGUCGAUGCGUCUCCGCAGUACAUGUUCGGCUAGCCCGAGGGCCCGUUAUAAAUCUUAAGGUUUAGUUAACUAAAGUCCUUCAAACAGACAAACAGUCUUUGUCCCAACUACGGGAAGAUAGGGGAGACAUAUUUUUCAACGAGCGGCGUCUCCCACUAGCAACUUUCCCUCGAGGGCGGCUAACAUCUUUUUCUAACCACCGAUAUAGAGAUUGACCAAUUAGCAGCAACGUCAAUUUCCCUUACUUCCUAAACGAAGGCUUUCCUCGACGAAUCCGAUGAUCUCGUGUCCUUAGACACACCCCAUUAUAGUUUUCCUCUGUGACAUCGUCGGGACGGGACGGGCAUUCUUUUACGCGCUCCCGUCGACCAAAGAGUAACGUCUUUACGCUCAGCAAUUAUUUUUACGAGUCAGACUUAGAUUCAGCGAGAACGCCCAUCUGUCAUCCCGUUGGCCGCGGAUUCGUUAUUGAACCGGAGACCACUGUCACUAGUGUCGCGGACGUCUCACCGCCGUGGUAGAUUGUCAAAACCUGUGUUAUUCAUACCUGUGUCAAUAAAUCGUAUCUUCGUUACACCGCAACGAUGGCUACCUUCAAUGAAGACUCCUCAAACACCGACAACCCUAUCCCCAA
Molecule: long non-coding RNA, 1748 nt
Organism: Bombus huntii
Lineage: Eukaryota; Metazoa; Arthropoda; Insecta; Hymenoptera; Apidae
Exons: 3
Source: RefSeq, a predicted model, not a curated record